AUAAGAGGUCUAGCCUGCCCAGUGACAUUGUUCAACGGCCGCGGUAUCCUAACCGUGCGAAGGUAGCGUAAUCACUUGUUCUUUAAAUGAGGACUAGUAUGAAAGGCAUCACGAGAGUCAUACUGUCUCCUUUCUCUAAUCAGUGAAACUAAUCCCCCCGUGAAGAAGCGGGGAUAGAAAUAUAAGACGAGAAGACCCUAUGGAGCUUUAAACACAUAAUAUAUGCCCUUUUAACUUCAAAUUCCAGAAAAAUCUCUUAUCUUGGUAUAAUAACUAAUAGUUUUUGGUUGGGGUGACCACGGAAUAAAAAACAACUUCCACAAUGAAAGAUUCUCCUUCACUAAGUUAAGGACUACAACCCUAUACAUCAAUAAAUUGACAUAAUUGACCCAACAUAUUGAUCAAUGAACCAAGUUACCCUAGGGAUAACAGCGCAAUCCACUUUAAGAGCUCUUAUCGACAAGUGGGCUUACGACCUCGAUGUUGGAUCAGGGUACCCCAGUGGUGCAGCCGCUACUAAAGGUUCGUUUGUUCAACGAUUAAAACCCUACGUGAUCUGAGUUCAGACCGGAGUAAUCCAGGUCAGUUUCUAUCUAUAAAGAGCUUUUUUUAGUACGAAAGGACCAAAAAAGCAUGGCCAAUGCUUCAAUAAGCCAUACCAUUCAUUUAUGAAUUUAU
RNAcentral lists this ribosomal RNA (678 nucleotides) under Adenomera hylaedactyla (Napo tropical bullfrog). RNAcentral describes it as "partial 16S ribosomal RNA". It matches the Rfam family "Bacterial large subunit ribosomal RNA", at positions 1845 to 2752 of the family's 2925-position model. Lineage: Eukaryota; Metazoa; Chordata; Amphibia; Anura; Leptodactylidae. The record is from RNAcentral.